Non-coding RNA from Orbicella faveolata, 968 nucleotides. Lineage: Eukaryota; Metazoa; Cnidaria; Anthozoa; Scleractinia; Merulinidae. The record is from RefSeq and is a predicted model, not a curated record.
CCGCGAUGUUACCUUCCCCAGCAUCAGAUGAGAGCACUGAUGAGGGGAGCCAAUGGUGCUGGAAGCAAUACACAGCCGCUGCCCUAGUCGGGGGUACUGCAGCGGUAGUCGCUGCUCCUUUCGUCCUUACCGCGGCAGGAUUCACCACUGGAGGAGUUGCCGCGAGCUCAAUUGCUGCAAGCAUCCAGUCUGCAGUAUAUGGAGGUACUGUGGGCUCUACAAGCGUAUUUGCUGUGCUUCAGAGCGCAGGAGCUGCCGGUUUAGGCGCGAGUGCAAAAAGUGUUCUUUUCGCAGGUGGUGCAGGAAUGGCUACCUGGAUCAAGAACAAGCUGGCUCCGUGUCAGAACGAUGGACCAAAAUGUUCACCAGACAAACAAUAAUUCCUAUCGGAAUGGACUGUUUUCUGGCAUAAGGAUAGACUUGUGUCACUUAUUACUUUGUAUCCUUAUCUACGUUUAUUCCUAUAUGUUAACUGAGAAGGAAAAAAGUAUUUGCAGCAGAACCAACUCUGAGUUUGAAGGUAGUCUCCACUGCAAUUUGUUGAGACAUUCAGCUUCUUUCCUUCAUUUAAAGUUAAAUCAGCUAAACAUAUAUGUACCACACAGAGGAAAGUUUCUCACGAAUAUACCUUUUUCUAUAGGUAAAACCAGUUUUCCAAACAAAUUGCACCUGAGACUAUAGCUCAUGAAGUUGUAAGUGAGCGGUCCAGAAUUAACUUCGUUUUCAACGCUUAUGUUAUAUAACUUAGAACUCUAAUAGCAUUUUUGUUCCAUUUAAACAUAUAUUCUUGAUUGCAAUAUUGUGAGAUUUAUGUUUUGUAGCAAAUCUGCAGACUAUAGUGUAGCCACUCGGUCUGUAAAUCCGUACAAUGUAUAUGGGUUGUAUAUUAGGGAACAAGAAAGGUAUCUCUGUUUUGUUGUUUUGUGUUGGCAGGCAAGAAAACAAUUAAACAACUAUCAGACAAUGAA